This 258-nucleotide ribosomal RNA is filed under the name uncultured bacterium. Its description in RNAcentral is "partial 16S ribosomal RNA". It matches the Rfam family "Bacterial small subunit ribosomal RNA", at positions 524 to 776 of the family's 1533-position model. The record is from RNAcentral.
UACGUAGGGGCGCAAGCGUUUGUCCGGAAUUAUUGGGCGUAAAGAGCUCGUAGGUGGCGUGUCGCGUCUGCCGUGAAAGCCCAUGGCUUAACUGUGGGUCUGCGGUGGAUACGGGCAGGCUAGAGGCUGGUAGGGGCAAGCGGAAUUCCUGGUGUAGCGGUGAAAUGCGCAGAUAUCAGGAGGAACACCGGUGGCGAAGGCGGCUUGCUGGGCCAGUUCUGACGCUGAGGGAGCGAAAAGCGUGGGGGAGCGAACAGG